Triticum aestivum (bread wheat) is the source of this 309-nucleotide long non-coding RNA. RefSeq lists it as uncharacterized. The record is from RefSeq and is a predicted model, not a curated record. The transcript is spliced from 2 exons. Lineage: Eukaryota; Viridiplantae; Streptophyta; Magnoliopsida; Poales; Poaceae.
GGAUCCCAACACCACAUUAUGAAGCAAUCAGCAUGAUUCCUCCAACUCGACAUGGAAACAGCCGGAGGAGCAGAGAGGGAUGACCCGGAAGCCUCAGGCCCAACACACCUUUAAUCCUUCAAGCGGCUCAUGCUCACGUCUUGAUGAAACAAUGCUGCAUUAUUCGGACUCGGGGAGUUAUGUAAUAGAGUAGGAAAACACUUGAUUUUGUUGUGCCAUCGCGCACGUGUGCGGCGCUCAACACUGUUUAAGGUGCCCUCUUAUAUUCUUCCGGGUUAUGCUUGAUCUUCUGCUUUCCUUAUGUUUAAA